Molecule: non-coding RNA, 276 nt
Organism: Caretta caretta (loggerhead turtle)
Lineage: Eukaryota; Metazoa; Chordata; Testudines; Cheloniidae
Source: RefSeq, a predicted model, not a curated record
GCAAGCUCCAGACUAAUGGUAUACAUGUAGAACAUGAUAGGGAAUGAGACCCAAACAGCUGUGGUGCACACAGGAUCAAGCCAGAGGGUGGCAAGAAAGGGUGCUGAGCAGUGUUUCAUGCAGCCAAGCAAGUAGGAGUAGUAGUUUCUGGAUCAAACAGGAGAGGGGCAGUCUUGUUUUGCUGUAUAUGGGUCCUAUGGUUUGGAACACCAAAUUAGUUUCUACCAUAUUAAGCAGCAUGGAUAUGUGAAAACAAGCAAUUAAAAUUAGCCUGAA